GGCCUGAUGGUCUAGUAGUAUGAUUCCUUGUUAGGGCUCUGUGCUGUUUCGAGGAGGUCCCGGGUUCAAUUCCCGGUUAGGCCC
Molecule: non-coding RNA, 84 nt
Organism: Tricholoma furcatifolium
Lineage: Eukaryota; Fungi; Basidiomycota; Agaricomycetes; Agaricales; Tricholomataceae
Source: the annotation of a GenBank genome assembly